Long non-coding RNA from Lepus europaeus (European hare), 1480 nucleotides. RefSeq lists it as uncharacterized. The transcript has 5 exons. NCBI's taxonomy places the organism in Eukaryota, Metazoa, Chordata, Mammalia, Lagomorpha, Leporidae. The record is from RefSeq and is a predicted model, not a curated record.
GCGCAGCCCCUCGGACGUCGGCCGGGCUCGGUGUGCGGAGGGUGUGGGGCCUUGGGUCCCGAUCGCGCGCUUCCUGCGCGGGGGAAGCUGCUCGGGGCCGCGCCUGCUCCGCACAGCCGGCGCCGGAAUGCGAGCGCUCUGGCGGGUUCGCAGAGGCACUGUCUUAAGCCCUGAAGAGAGGCAGCUGUGAAGAGAGGCAGUUGCAAAAUAGUUUAUAUUUUCAUGAACGUAACAUCCUGGAGGAAGAAGACACAAAAUAAGCAAGAAAACAAGGCAAUAGAAGAUAGGUGUGAAUUGCUUGAAGGAUAAAAGGGAAAUACUCAAAUGAACAGUCCAGCAGUUAAGAUGCCCAGCAUCCUACAUCCAAGUGUCCAGGUUCAGACCCUACUCACAUGUGCACGACCUAACUUUAAGAGAGGAUGGGAAAUAUAGUCUUCCUAUGUGAACAAAAACUAUAGAUGAAAUGAGGUUCAUUAAGCAUUUGGCAUCACUUCCACCACAAACACCAACCUCCAGGCACUUUCUGAGCAUUUGUUAUAAACAAGAUACCAUCCUGGAGGCUGGCGUGGCACUACAGUAGCAGCGACCAAUCAGAAUGCCAGUUCUGAUCUGUCACUACUGCUAAUGCAACUGCGAAGGCAGUAAAUGAUGGCCCAAGUACUUGAGCACCUGCCACCCAUGUGGGAGACCAAGGUGGAGUUCCAGGCUCCAGGUUUUGGCCUGGACCAGCCCUAGCUGUUGCGUAGAAGAGGAGGACUGGCAUUGUGGCUUAGCAGGCUGAUUCUCUGCCUGCAAAACCGGCAUUGCGUAUGAACAUCCGUUUGAGUCCUGCCUACUUCACUUCCAGUCCCGCUCCCUGCUAAUGUGCCUGUGCAAGCAGCAGAAGAUGAUCGAAGUCCUGGACCCCUGUACUCAUGUGGGAGACCUGCAGAAGCUUCUGGCUCCUGGCUUCAGUGUGGCCCACCCCCGCUGUUAGCCAUUUGGGGUAUAUGAACCAUUGAAUGGAAGAUCUCUCUCUCUCUCUCUGUAACUUUGCCUUUAAAAUAAAUAAAAGUAAAUCUUUAAAAAAAAAAUAGAAGAAAGGAUUUUGGCUGUUUUCAUUAAAAAGAAGUGAUAAAUGUGUGUGGAAAUAGUCAUGUUUACCCUGAUUUGAACUUACAUGAUGUAUAAAUAUAUGGAAACAUCACAUUAUACUCCAUAAAUAUGUAUAAUUUUAUGCAUCAAUUUAAAAAUAAUAAAGUAAUUAAUUAAAUGCUUACUCAAUAAAGUCUACAUUGGAGGAAAUAUUCCUGUUAGAUUUUUAAAUUUAUAAAAGCCAGGACACCAUUUAUAUUUAUUACCAGAUGCAUUUUAACCCAACUACAUAAGAAACAACAUAGUAAAAGACUAAGGAGAAAUGUAUCAAAUAUACUAAAUUGCUCAGGAAUAUUUUCUUUCCACCUUUUGUUUCUUGCCAAAUAUUCUAUAACAAGCACUUAAU